GAAUAUUGGACAAUGGGCGAAAGCCUGAUCCAGCAAUGCCGCGUGAGUGAUGAAGGCCCUAGGGUUGUAAAGCUCUUUUACCCGGGAUGAUAAUGACAGUACCGGGAGAAUAAGCUCCGGCUAACUCCGUGCCAGCAGCCGCGGUAAUACGGAGGGAGCUAGCGUUGUUCGGAAUUACUGGGCGUAAAGCGCGCGUAGGCGGUCCAUCAAGUCAGAGGUGAAAGCCCGGGGCUCAACCCCGGAACUGCCUUUGAAACUGGCGGACUAGAAUCUUGGAGAGGCGAGUGGAAUUCCGAGUGUAGAGGUGAAAUUCGUAGAUAUUCGGAAGAACACCAGUGGCGAAGGCGACUCGCUGGACAAGUAUUGACGCUGAGGUGCGAAAGCGUGGGGAGCAAACAG
RNAcentral lists this ribosomal RNA (399 nucleotides) under uncultured bacterium. Its description in RNAcentral is "bacterial SSU rRNA". It matches the Rfam family "Bacterial small subunit ribosomal RNA", at positions 359 to 775 of the family's 1533-position model. The record is from RNAcentral.